GACGAACGCUGGCGGCAUGCCUAACACAUGCAAGUCGAACGGAGAUUAUUUCGGUAAUCUUAGUGGCGAACGGGUGAGUAACGCGUAGGCAACCUGCCCUUUAGUUGGGGACAACAUCCCGAAAGGGGUGCUAAUACCGAAUGUGACAGCUUUCUCGCAUGAGAUUGCUGUGAAAGAUGGCCUCUAUUUAUAAGCUAUCGCUAAAGGAUGGGCCUGCGUCUGAUUAGCUAGUUGGUGGGGUAACGGCCUACCAAGGCGACGAUCAGUAGCCGGUCUGAGAGGAUGAACGGCCACAUUGGGACUGAGACACGGCCCAG
RNAcentral lists this ribosomal RNA (317 nucleotides) under uncultured bacterium. RNAcentral's name for it is "bacterial SSU rRNA". It matches the Rfam family "Bacterial small subunit ribosomal RNA", at positions 28 to 334 of the family's 1533-position model. The record is from RNAcentral.